RNAcentral lists this transfer RNA (76 nucleotides) under Lachnospiraceae bacterium. RNAcentral describes it as "tRNA-Lys". It matches the Rfam family "tRNA". From Rfam's summary of the family: Transfer RNA (tRNA) molecules are approximately 80 nucleotides in length. The record is from RNAcentral. RNAcentral also lists the same sequence under 2 other names. Lineage: Bacteria; Bacillati; Bacillota; Clostridia; Lachnospirales; Lachnospiraceae.
GGGAUAUUAGCUCAGUUGGUAGAGCACUUGACUUUUAAUCAAGUUGUCCGGGGUUCGAAUCCCCGAUGUCUCACUA